RNAcentral lists this ribosomal RNA (397 nucleotides) under uncultured bacterium. RNAcentral's name for it is "bacterial SSU rRNA". It matches the Rfam family "Bacterial small subunit ribosomal RNA", at positions 361 to 776 of the family's 1533-position model. The record is from RNAcentral.
AUAUUGCGCAAUGGAGGAAACUCUGACGCAGUGACGCCGCGUAUAGGAAGAAGGUUUUCGGAUUGUAAACUAUUGUCGUGAGGGAAGAAAUUGACAGUACCUCAGGAGGAAGCUCCGGCUAACUAUGUGCCAGCAGCCGCGGUAAUACAUAGGGAGCAAGCGUUAUCCGGAUUUAUUGGGUGUAAAGGGUGCGUAGACGGGCUGUUAAGUCAGCGGUCAAAUGUCGGGGCUCCACCCCGGCCUGCCGUUGAAACUGGCGGCCUCGAGUGGGCGAGAAGUAUGCGGAAUGCGUGGUGUAGCGGUGAAAUGCAUAGAUAUCACGCAGAACUCCGAUUGCGAAGGCAGCAUACCGGCGCCCUACUGACGCUGAGGCACGAAAGCGUGGGUAUCGAACAGG